AAACGAGGCACGCUGAGUUCUGUUCGCCUCGCACAAUUACACAAAGAACAGAAGCGGAGGACCCAACCUUCGGAAACUCCCCUCCCGGAGCUUCCUUGGGGUGAAGUUGCUACUGCAACCGGGGCACCUCAGCCCGAACCCGACAGCUUACUUCGCAAGCGACAACAAGAGAGGACAU
This 178-nucleotide small RNA is filed under the name Corynebacterium sp. RNAcentral describes it as "c-di-AMP sequence". It matches the Rfam family "c-di-AMP riboswitch aptamer (ydaO/yuaA leader)". From Rfam's summary of the family: This family represents a conserved RNA structure found upstream of the ydaO and yuaA genes in Bacillus subtilis and related genes in other bacteria. The ydaO/yuaA element is thought to act as a genetic "off" switch for the ydaO and yuaA genes in its native state. Lineage: Bacteria; Bacillati; Actinomycetota; Actinomycetes; Mycobacteriales; Corynebacteriaceae. The record is from RNAcentral.